Saccostrea cuccullata (small rock oyster) is the source of this 548-nucleotide long non-coding RNA. RefSeq lists it as uncharacterized. The record is from RefSeq and is a predicted model, not a curated record. Lineage: Eukaryota; Metazoa; Mollusca; Bivalvia; Ostreida; Ostreidae. The transcript has 2 exons.
AUACCGCAUAUUUGAGUUCAUCUCACAAUAUGCGCCGUUAUCAAAGCUCUAUCCUAUUAUUCUAUGUCAUCAUUCACCUCCUUUUUGUGGAAAAAACUAAUAAAUGUGAUAAGCCGGAAUUUAUUUAUCCAUCCAUACAGCGUCGGUACUUAGUCACUAGAUUUACGGGUUAUCUCCCCUUUUCUAUGCAUCAAUGAAAGCGAAAGGUGGGUGAUGAAAGUAUCCGAUUUAUGUUUUUGUAUUUAGUUCUCUCUUGCCAGCUGGAUAUUGAUAAUGGAAUCUGAGACCCAAAGCAAUAUACUAGUAACUUGGAAAGAUAUAAAUUCAGGAGGGGGGGGGGCGUUAGACCCAAUUAAUUUGAAGGGUCAGACUAGAAUUAUUUUAAUGCAGGAUAGUUCUAAAGUGGGUUGGCAAUGAGAGAGUGAUGUUCACGAUGGAUGGGUUGCUGAGGGUUUUGAGUAGGCUAGGAGUCCAUGGUGGGUGGUUAAAUUGAAGUUGCCUACCCCCACCAGGUGGCGGUGGGCACCUACGGUGCCCAUGUGGCGAAA